RNAcentral lists this ribosomal RNA (253 nucleotides) under uncultured bacterium. RNAcentral describes it as "partial 16S ribosomal RNA". It matches the Rfam family "Bacterial small subunit ribosomal RNA", at positions 524 to 776 of the family's 1533-position model. The record is from RNAcentral.
GACGGAAGGUGCAAGCGUUGCUCGGAAUCACUGGGCGUAAAGGGUGCGUAGGCGGCUUGGUAGGUCUGGUGUGAAAGCCCCGGGCUCAGCCCGGGAAGGGCACUAGAAACUGCCAAGCUAGAGUGCCGGAGGGGAGAGUGGAAUUCCUGGUGUAGCGGUGAAAUGCGCAGAUAUCAGGAAGAACACCAAUGGCGAAGGCAGCUCUCUGGGACGGUACUGACUCUGAGACGCGAAAGCGUGGGGAGCGAACAGG